UACAGAGGGUGCGAGCGUUAAUCGGAAUUACUGGGCGUAAAGCGUGCGUAGACGGUUAUUUAAGUCGGAUGUGAAAGCCCCGGGCUCAACCUGGGAAUUGCAUUCGAGACUGAAUAGCUAGGGUGCGGUAGAGGGAAGCGGAAUUUCCGGUGUAGCGGUGAAAUGCGUAGAUAAUCGGAAGGAACAUCAGUGGCGAAAGCGGCUUCCUGGACCAGCACCGACGUCAGGCACGAAAGCGUGGGGAGCAA
This 248-nucleotide ribosomal RNA is filed under the name uncultured bacterium. RNAcentral describes it as "partial 16S ribosomal RNA". It matches the Rfam family "Bacterial small subunit ribosomal RNA", at positions 524 to 771 of the family's 1533-position model. The record is from RNAcentral.